This 208-nucleotide ribosomal RNA is filed under the name Pichia kudriavzevii. Its description in RNAcentral is "partial 26S ribosomal RNA". It matches the Rfam family "Eukaryotic large subunit ribosomal RNA", at positions 70 to 282 of the family's 3401-position model. Lineage: Eukaryota; Fungi; Ascomycota; Pichiomycetes; Pichiales; Pichiaceae. The record is from RNAcentral.
CCGGCAUGCCUCAGUAGCGGCGAGUGAAGCGGCAAGAGCUCAGAUUUGAAAUCGUGCUUUGCGGCACGAGUUGUAGAUUGCAGGUUGGAGUCUGUGUGGAAGGCGGUGUCCAAGUCCCUUGGAACAGGGCGCCCAGGAGGGUGAGAGCCCCGUGGGAUGCCGGCGGAAGCAGUGAGGCCCUUCUGACGAGUCGAGUUGUUUGGGAAUA